RNAcentral lists this ribosomal RNA (273 nucleotides) under uncultured bacterium. RNAcentral describes it as "partial 16S ribosomal RNA". It matches the Rfam family "Bacterial small subunit ribosomal RNA", at positions 524 to 796 of the family's 1533-position model. The record is from RNAcentral.
UACGUAGGGUGCGAGCGUUAAUCGGAAUUACUGGGCGUAAAGCGUGCGCAGGCGGAUUGUUAAGCAAGAUGUGAAAUCCCCGGGCUUAACCUGGGAAUGGCAUUUUGAACUGGCAGUCUAGAGUGUGUCAGAGGGGGGUGGAAUUCCACGUGUAGCAGUGAAAUGCGUAGAUAUGUGGAGGAACACCAAUGGCGAAGGCAGCCCCCUGGGAUAACACUGACGCUCAUGUCCGUUAGCGUGUGUAGCUUACCGGAUUAGAUACCCGUGUAGUUC